GGGUUGUGAGGUUAAGCGACUAAGCGUACACGGUGGAUGCCCUGGCAGUCAGAGGCGAUGAAGGACGUGCUAAUCUGCGAAAAGCGUCGGUAAGGUGAUAUGAACCGUUAUAACCGGCGAUGUCCGAAUGGGGAAACCCAGUGUGAUUCGUCACACUAUCGUUAACUGAAUACAUAGGUUAACGAGGCGAACCGGGGGAACUGAAACAUCUAAGUACCCCGAGGAAAAGAAAUCAACCGAGAUUCCCCCAGUAGCGGCGAGCGAACGGGGAGCAGCCCAGAGUCUGAAUCAGCUUGUGUGUUAGUGGAACGGUCUGGAAAGUCCGACGGUACAGGGUGAUAGUCCCGUACACCAAAAUGCACAGGCUGUGAACUCGAAGAGUAGGGCGGGACACGUGGUAUCCUGUCUGAAUAUGGGGGGACCAUCCUCCAAGGCUAAAUACUCCUGACUGACCGAUAGUGAACCAGUACCGUGAGGGAAAGGCGAAAAGAACCCCGGCGAGGGGAGUGAAAAAGAACCUGAAACCGUGUACGUACAAGCAGUGGGAGCACCUUCGGGUGUGACUGCGUACCUUUUGUAUAAUGGGUCAGCGACUUAUAUUCUGUAGCAAGGUUAACCGUAUAGGGGAGCCGCAGGGAAACCGAGUCUUAACUGGGCGUUAAGUUGCAGGGUAUAGACCCGAAACCCGGUGAUCUAGAUGGGCAGGUUGAAGGUUGGGUAACACUAACUGGAGGACCGAACCGACUAAUGUUGAAAAAUUAGCGGAUGACUUGUGGCUGGGGGUGAAAGGCCAAUCAAACCGGGAGAUAGCUGGUUCUCCCCGAAAGCUAUUUAGGUAGCGCCUCGUGAAUUCAUCUUCGGGGUAGAGCACUGUUUCGGCUAGGGGUCAUCCCGACUUACCAACCCGAUGCAAACUACGAAUACCGAAGAAUGUUAUCACGGGAGACACACGGCGGGUGCUAACGUCCGUCGUGAAGAGGGAAACAACCCAGACCGCCAGCUAAGGUCCCAAAGUCAUGGUUAAGUGGGAAACGAUGUGGGAAGGCACAGACAGCCAGGAUGUUGGCUUAGAAGCAGCCAUCAUUUAAAGAAAGCGUAAUAGCUCACUGGUCGAGUCGGCCUGCGCGGAAGAUGUAACGGGGCUAAACCAUGCACCGAAGCUGCGGCAGCGACACUAUGUGUUGUUGGGUAGGGGAGCGUUCUGUAAGCCUGCGAAGGUGUGCUGUGAGGCAUGCUGGAGGUAUCAGAAGUGCGAAUGCUGACAUAAGUAACGAUAAAGCGGGUGAAAAGCCCGCUCGCCGGAAGACCAAGGGUUCCUGUCCAACGUUAAUCGGGGCAGGGUGAGUCGACCCCUAAGGCGAGGCCGAAAGGCGUAGUCGAUGGGAAACAGGUUAAUAUUCCUGUACUUGGUGUUACUGCGAAGGGGGGACGGAGAAGGCUAUGUUAGCCGGGCGACGGUUGUCCCGGUUUAAGCAUGUAGGCUGGUUGUCCAGCAAAUCCGGAUAAUCAAGGCUGAGGUGUGAUGACGAGGCACUACGGUGCUGAAGUAACAAAUGCCCUGCUUCCAGGAAAAGCCUCUAAGCAUCAGGUAACAUCAAAUCGUACCCCAAACCGACACAGGUGGUCAGGUAGAGAAUACCAAGGCGCUUGAGAGAACUCGGGUGAAGGAACUAGGCAAAAUGGUGCCGUAACUUCGGGAGAAGGCACGCUGGUGUGUAGGUGAAGUCCCUGCGGAUGGAGCUGAGACCAGUCGAAGAUACCAGCUGGCUGCAACUGUUUAUUAAAAACACAGCACUGUGCAAACACGAAAGUGGACGUAUACGGUGUGACGCCUGCCCGGUGCCGGAAGGUUAAUUGAUGGGGUUAUCCGUAAGGAGAAGCUCUUGAUCGAAGCCCCGGUAAACGGCGGCCGUAACUAUAACGGUCCUAAGGUAGCGAAAUUCCUUGUCGGGUAAGUUCCGACCUGCACGAAUGGCGUAAUGAUGGCCAGGCUGUCUCCACCCGAGACUCAGUGAAAUUGAACUCGCUGUGAAGAUGCAGUGUACCCGCGGCAAGACGGAAAGACCCCGUGAACCUUUACUAUAGCUUGACACUGAACAUUGAGCCUUGAUGUGUAGGAUAGGUGGGAGGCUUUGAAGCGUGGACGCCAGUCUGCGUGGAGCCAACCUUGAAAUACCACCCUUUAAUGUUUGAUGUUCUAACGUUGGCCCCUUACCGGGGUUGCGGACAGUGUCUGGUGGGUAGUUUGACUGGGGCGGUCUCCUCCCAAAGCGUAACGGAGGAGCACGAAGGUUAGCUAAUCCUGGUCGGACAUCAGGAGGUUAGUGCAAUGGCAUAAGCUAGCUUGACUGCGAGCGUGACGGCGCGAGCAGGUGCGAAAGCAGGUCAUAGUGAUCCGGUGGUUCUGAAUGGAAGGGCCAUCGCUCAACGGAUAAAAGGUACUCCGGGGAUAACAGGCUGAUACCGCCCAAGAGUUCAUAUCGACGGCGGUGUUUGGCACCUCGAUGUCGGCUCAUCACAUCCUGGGGCUGAAGUAGGUCCCAAGGGUAUGGCUGUUCGCCAUUUAAAGUGGUACGCGAGCUGGGUUUAGAACGUCGUGAGACAGUUCGGUCCCUAUCUGCCGUGGGCGCUGGAGAAUUGAGGGGGGCUGCUCCUAGUACGAGAGGACCGGAGUGGACGCAUCACUGGUGUUCGGGUUGUCAUGCCAAUGGCACUGCCCGGUAGCUAAAUGCGGAAGAGAUAAGUGCUGAAAGCAUCUAAGCACGAAACUUGCCCCGAGAUGAGUUCUCCCUGAGACUUUAAGUCUCCUGAAGGAACGUUAAAGACGAUGACGUUGAUAGGCCGGGUGUGUAAGCGCAGCGAUGCGUUGAGCUAACCGGUACUAAUGAACCGUGAGGCUUAACCUUACAACGCCGAAG
This 2918-nucleotide ribosomal RNA is filed under the name Klebsiella pneumoniae. RNAcentral's name for it is "23S ribosomal RNA". It matches the Rfam family "Bacterial large subunit ribosomal RNA". Lineage: Bacteria; Pseudomonadati; Pseudomonadota; Gammaproteobacteria; Enterobacterales; Enterobacteriaceae. The record is from RNAcentral.